CCUACGGGAGGCAGUAGUGAGGAAUAUUGGUCAAUGGACGAGAGUCUGAACCAGCCAAGUAGCGUGAAGGAUGACUGCCCUAUGGGUUGUAAACUUCUUUUAUAAAGGAAUAAAACGAGGCACGUGUGCCUUUUUGCAUGUACUUUAUGAAUAAGGAUCGGCUAACUCCGUGCCAGCAGCCGCGGUAAUACGGAGGAUCCGAGCGUUAUCCGGAUUUAUUGGGUUUAAAGGGAGCGUAGAUGGGUUGUUAAGUCAGUUGUGAAAGUUUGCGGCUCAACCGUAAAAUUGCAAUUGAUACUGGCAGUCGUGAGUACAGUUGAGGUAGGCGGAAUUCGUGGUGUAGCGGUGAAAUGCUUAGAGAUCACGAAGAACCCCGAUUGCGAAGGCAGCUUACUAAACUGUGACUGACAUUGAUGCUCGAAAGUGUGGGUAUCAAACAGGAUUAGAUACCCUGGUAGUC
Molecule: ribosomal RNA, 460 nt
Filed under: uncultured bacterium
Lineage: Bacteria
Description: partial 16S ribosomal RNA
Rfam family: Bacterial small subunit ribosomal RNA
Source: RNAcentral